CUACGGGAGGCUCCAGUGGGGAAUAUUGGACAAUGGGCGAAAGCCUGAUCCAGCAAUACCGCGUGAGUGAUGACGGUCUUCGGAUUGUAAAGCUCUUUUAGUAGAGAAGAUAAUGACGGUAUCUACAGAAAAAGCACCGGCAAACUUCGUGCCAGCAGCCGCGGUAAUACGAAGGGUGCUAGCGUUGUUCGGAGUUACUGGGCGUAAAGGGUACGUAGGCGGCUUGGUAAGUUGGUUGUGAAAGCCCUGGGCUCAACCCAGGAACUGCAACCAAAACUGCCUUGCUAGAGUUUAGUGGGGGAUAAUGGAAUUCCUAGUGUAGGGGUGAAAUCCGUAGAGAUUAGGAGGAAUAUCGGUGGCGAAAGCGAUUAUCUACGCUAAUACUGACGCUGAGGUACGAAAGCGUGGGGAGCAAACAGGAUUAGAUACCCCUGUAGUC
This 439-nucleotide ribosomal RNA is filed under the name uncultured bacterium. RNAcentral's name for it is "partial 16S ribosomal RNA". It matches the Rfam family "Bacterial small subunit ribosomal RNA", at positions 339 to 795 of the family's 1533-position model. The record is from RNAcentral.